RNAcentral lists this ribosomal RNA (275 nucleotides) under uncultured bacterium. RNAcentral's name for it is "partial 16S ribosomal RNA". It matches the Rfam family "Bacterial small subunit ribosomal RNA", at positions 338 to 628 of the family's 1533-position model. The record is from RNAcentral.
CCUACGGGCGGCUGCAGUGGGGAAUUUUCCGCAAUGGGCGAAAGCCUGACGGAGCAAGACCGCGUGAGGGAGGAAGGCUCUUGGGUUGUAAACCUCUUUUCUCUGGGAAGAAUUCAUGACGGUACCAGAGGAAUCAGCAUCGGCUAACUCCGUGCCAGCAGCCGCGGUAAUACGGAGGAUGCAAGCGUUAUCCGGAAUGAUUGGGCGUAAAGCGUCCGCAGGUGGCAGUUCAAGUCUGCCGUCAAAGACUCCAGCUUAACUGGAGAAAGGCGGUG